UACGAAGGGGGCUAGCGUUGCUCGGAAUCACUGGGCGUAAAGCGCACGUAGGCGGAUUCCUAAGUCGGGGGUGAAAUCCUGGAGCUUAACUCCAGAACUGCCUUCGAUACUGGGAAUCUUGAGUACGGAAGAGGUGAGUGGAACUGCGAGUGUAGAGGUGAAAUUCGUAGAUAUUCGCAAGAACACCAGUGGCGAAGGCGGCUCGCUGGUCCGGUACUGACGCUGAGGUGCGAAAGCGUGGGGAGCAAACAGG
RNAcentral lists this ribosomal RNA (253 nucleotides) under uncultured bacterium. RNAcentral describes it as "partial 16S ribosomal RNA". It matches the Rfam family "Bacterial small subunit ribosomal RNA", at positions 524 to 776 of the family's 1533-position model. The record is from RNAcentral.